This 467-nucleotide ribosomal RNA is filed under the name uncultured bacterium. RNAcentral's name for it is "partial 16S ribosomal RNA". It matches the Rfam family "Bacterial small subunit ribosomal RNA", at positions 28 to 507 of the family's 1533-position model. The record is from RNAcentral.
GAUGAACGCUGCCAGAAUGCUUAACACAUGCAAGUCAACUUGAAUUUGGGUUUUUAACUUAGGUUUGGGUGGCGGACGGGUGAGUAACGCGUAAAGAACUUGCCUCACAGCUAGGGACAACAUUUGGAAACGAAUGCUAAUACCUAAUAUUAUGAUAAUAGGGCAUCCUAUAAUUAUGAAAGCUAUAAGCGCUGUGAGAGAGCUUUGCGUCCCAUUAGCUAGUUGGAGAGGUAACGGCUCACCAAGGCGAUGAUGGGUAGCCGGCCUGAGAGGGUGAUCGGCCACAAGGGGACUGAGACACGGCCCUUACUCCUACGGGAGGCAGCAGUGGGGAAUAUUGGACAACGGACCGAGAGUCUGAUCCAGCAAUUCUGUGUGCACGAUGAAGUUUUUCGGAAUGUAAAGUGCUUUCAGUUGGGAAGAAACAAAUGACGGUACCAACAGAAGAAGUGACGGCUAAAUACGUG